Molecule: long non-coding RNA, 283 nt
Filed under: Mytilus galloprovincialis (Mediterranean mussel)
Lineage: Eukaryota; Metazoa; Mollusca; Bivalvia; Mytilida; Mytilidae
Source: RNAcentral
AAUCAACCUCCAAACUAUCCAUGAUUCUGUAAUGAGGAGUACCCAAAUUGCAUCCAUGCUUAAAUUCACAUCGUCAAAAGUCUAAUAACCGAGCUUUUGUUUAAUUUCUUCAAAUAUUUUGAACAAUUGGAUAUUAGUCCAUGCUUACUCUUCAUAUUUUACGAAAUGGAUACUUAUAAUAUAUUGUAUUUGCUAAUUUUAAAAAGAUGACGUUUUGAUGACGUCGCAUGAUGACGUUUUCGUACAUUUUGCUUUUUCAGUAAACAGUCCAUCUGUUGAUAAA